AGCAGAUUCAUUUAGAGUUUUUCAUUUCAACUUUUACCUUCAGUGAUUUAGAAAUGUACGGAGUGUUUUCUGCUUCUCCACUUUUAGGACUUAAGAAGCUCUACUUAGAGAUCAAAGAGGUGGACUACACUAAUAAGCAGGAGGAGAGGAGAUAGGAAAUGAAUAAUUAAGAUGGAUUUAUCAGAAACAAGGAGAUCAUAUUGAAAUGUAUUCCUGGAGCACCGGGGCUUCACUGACCUCUCUGCUGUGGCUGGAGUCAAUGGUGAUUUCGCAUCACAGCACACCAAGAUGGAAAGUAAACACCUGGGAACUUUUCAGCUCAACAUAUUUGCGGCCCUGAGACUGCCAAGAUUCUUCACUGUGAAAGUUCUCCAAGGAUUAGCCUAUUCCUGUUCUCCCUGUUCCACACAUAAAUAUUAAUUACCCCUAAAUACAGCCCAUUUACUAGCAUCAGUCAUGAAAAAUUUAAAAUGCCAAGCGAGUGUGAGAGAAACUUGACUGUAAAUAAUUGUUACAUUGUUCUGUUUGUUCUCAGCAUUGGUAGUUAGGAGUUUGUG
Long non-coding RNA from Bos indicus x Bos taurus (hybrid cattle), 557 nucleotides. Lineage: Eukaryota; Metazoa; Chordata; Mammalia; Artiodactyla; Bovidae. The record is from Ensembl.